Molecule: non-coding RNA, 436 nt
Organism: Neolamprologus brichardi
Lineage: Eukaryota; Metazoa; Chordata; Actinopteri; Cichliformes; Cichlidae
Source: RefSeq, a predicted model, not a curated record
UCAAGUGGAAAAGAAUCGGUUUUUUGAGAUGAAAAAAACUAUCAGCAGAUUUAGAGCUCCAGAAAAAUCUGCUGUAAGGUCUGUGCAAAAGUCCAUGAAGACCUUGAAUCUGCUGUACACAUACCCCAAAUGUCCAACUGAACCAAAAUCCAUCAAAGAUAUGGAUCCCGGACAAAACACAAUUGAAGAUCUAAUGUUGCGGAUUUGUCACCUCGAAAGUGUUGAUCCCUCCAGAGGUGUCUGUCUCUACACAGUGGAUGGAAUGCCUUUGACAGAUGAUCCUUUCUUUAACACAUGGUCUUUGCAAGACAGACACAUUAAAAGUGGAGAUGUAAUCUGUGCUAUUUUUACACCAAAUGAGAAUUUGGAAACGUCUAAAAAUUUCAAGCAAAGGGUCAUUGAAACCCAGGGAACCGAUACUGUUCGAUGUCAUAUC